UCCCCUUAUAUCAGAGAAGACAUUGGGCAUUUGUUUGGGGGGGGGGGGAUUAGCUAAAAAAACGAUGGUUAGAGGCCACGAAGUAGGUGGCAAUGCCUUAACUGUAUGCAUGUUGUCAGGUCCCAGAGCCUCUUCCAUCCUUGUCAAGGGGAGUUCUAACCUCUCUUUUCAUACAACAAUCACACUUGAUUUUAAGGCAGCAAGCCUGAUGGGUAAGAGCAUAGGUUUGAAGUCAGUCUUGAGUUGGGUCCUUGUUAUAUGAACUGGAGAUUAAUUUUAUAAGCCUCAGUUUUCUCACAAUUGGGGUUAUUAAUAGCUAUCUCCCAGGAUUGCAAAUCAAGGGAGAUCAUUUAUAUGAAGUGCUGUGCCUGAAACCAAUUUUUUUAAAUAAACAGUCAUAAGUGAUGUGAGUAGAAAUGAAGAGUUGAUAAUAAAUGACAUCUUGAAAUCAAUGGCUAUGCUGUAUAAGGGUAAAUGUAUGCAAAAGACAUUCCAAAGAAAUGUCCCAUACCACUGGAAUAUAGUAUGAAUAUGUGCUUAUAUUAUGAAACUUUGCUUCCCAAGCUUUUAAG
Molecule: long non-coding RNA, 572 nt
Filed under: Marmota monax (woodchuck)
Lineage: Eukaryota; Metazoa; Chordata; Mammalia; Rodentia; Sciuridae
Source: RNAcentral